AUGCCCUACCCUAGAGAUGCCCUGCCCCCAUGGACUAUUAGGCACAUCCACCUCCUGAACCCUGGUGGCCCUGGGGCCACCUGGAACUCCUCCACCUGCAACACUUGGCUAUUUUGUAUGCACGAGGGCCUGGUCCUUUCCCAGGAUUGCUUUGCAGGCUGUACCCCAUGGACCACCCUUCACUACCAGUCAUGGGCUAUAGGCCACAUCCCUCUCCUCCCCCUACUCUAUUUGUUAAGAUGACCUGAACUGGAUGAAAUGCUGGACAACUCUUUUGAAAUUUGAAGAGGACUGUGCACGGUGACAGACAAUCGUGUUUGUAUAUACAUUUUAAGAAGGUGUCAGAUCUACCUGAAUGCUUUCCCUGCCCAUCCUGUCCCCUCCACUUUGUCCUUCCUACUGUCCCCUAAUCCACCUUUCAUCGUUUUGCCUCUGUGCCAGCGUCUGCUUCUAGGGCCAUCUACUCUCACUCCUCCUCGAGUGCACACAUGGGUUCCUGUACACACAGGUAACAAACUGGCAGAAAUGGUGGUGAUGAAGGAUAGAAGCAAGAUCACCCUUUGUGGCAGGGGAGCCUGAGGGAGUUUUCUGGGGUGAUGGGAACUUCCUAUAUCUAGAUUGAUGGGGUGCUUAUGCUCAAUUAUUUUGGAAAUAUUCCCUGACUCCAUGGUGCCUUGGGGUCACACAAGUAUCUGUCCCUAGGAAAUGGCUGAGUUCUAAUGGUGGAGAAGGAUGAGGGACCAGCAGUGACUGUCGAGAGGAAUGAGGGUCAGACCAACGCCCAGGAUACCAGGUCUCCACAGACAGCACCACGUGUAGGAGGACUCUGAGGAGCAGAGAUUUCUUGAUCAGACCCAUGAACUACAUAAUCCUCUUGCAGUUUCCUCACUGAGCGAUGGCCAAAGAAGAGGCCAGCAGCUGGAGGACACCCUGAUCAUGGCUGGAGUGGAGCAGUGGCCUGGGGAUUGAGUCAGGGAAAGGGACAGGAGGAAGGUAGCGACAGGGAGUUUGAGAGAAAGGGAACAGAAGAGAAGGGACGCUUGUCUGCUGACUUCACCUACAAUUCUGUGUGACCAAAACGAGACCCUUGUCUCCCAGGCAAGGGAAGAGGGCUGGCAAAAAGACAGAGUGACAUACUCAGCUCAAGUGCCCAGGAUAUCUGCCUUGCUCUUGAGUACCAUAACACAGAAACACGUGCUUCUGUCACGAUGGGAACUGCAGCUCGUACCAUUUAGUGAAAAUCAAUCCAAUUAUGCAUCCCUCAGCAUUAAAGUACUGCAACAAAAUUAAGUGAACAGACUGAAAGAUACAACACAGGAUAAAGUCCAAAGGUAUACUGACUGCAAUACUUAUGGGAAUACAGUCUAUUAGAAGAGGAGGUAGGUACCCUAUUGCAGGCCUUCAGACACCUGGGCAAUAUCUGAAAAUGUAAAAAAUAAAUGUAGUCCUUACUUCA
This 1456-nucleotide long non-coding RNA is filed under the name Felis catus (domestic cat). RNAcentral describes it as "lncRNA (ENSFCAG00000043121.2)". The record is from RNAcentral. Lineage: Eukaryota; Metazoa; Chordata; Mammalia; Carnivora; Felidae.